RNAcentral lists this ribosomal RNA (241 nucleotides) under uncultured Staphylococcus sp. Its description in RNAcentral is "partial 16S ribosomal RNA". It matches the Rfam family "Bacterial small subunit ribosomal RNA", at positions 99 to 334 of the family's 1533-position model. Lineage: Bacteria; Bacillati; Bacillota; Bacilli; Caryophanales; Staphylococcaceae. The record is from RNAcentral.
CGGACGGGUGAGUAACACGUGGAUAACCUACCUAUAAGACUGGGAUAACUUCGGGAAACCGGAGCUAAUACCGGAUAAUAUUUUGAACCGCAUGGUUCGAAAGUGAAAGACGGUAUUGCUGUCACUUAUAGAUGGAUCCGCGCUGCAUUAGCUAGUUGGUAAGGUAACGGCUUACCAAGGCAACGAUGCAUAGCCGACCUGAGAGGGUGAUCGGCCACACUGGAACUGAGACACGGUCCAG